This is a long non-coding RNA of Bombus terrestris (buff-tailed bumblebee), 467 nucleotides long. RefSeq lists it as uncharacterized. The record is from RefSeq and is a predicted model, not a curated record. The transcript has 3 exons. Lineage: Eukaryota; Metazoa; Arthropoda; Insecta; Hymenoptera; Apidae.
AGAGUGGUUAGUGAUGGAGUCAAGUAUGUUGCAAGUAGGUUCGAUCAUUAACUGAUUGAAAUUAGUUAAAUUAAUUAAAUUGUCCAAUGCACCACUCUUUGCAUUUUUCAAGAUAUGUUGAAAUAUUUGAAGCUUCCUGUGCUUUUUAACUUUUAAAUAAAGUUGUAUUGUACAGGCUAUUACGAAAUAGUUUAAAUUAAGUGAAGAAAAGCAUAAAUAACAUGAAGCAAAUGAUAUGGCCAGUUGUUUAGUCAAGUAGAAAGUAAAACCGAAUUUACACUGUGUGGUUUCAUGCCGCAAUUUCACAGCGGAUGAUUAAUCGAAAAACAUCACUGUCGUCCUCCUCGUUUCAUCCGCAAUGAUUCUCCAAGGUUCGUUCAGUUCGCGAAGGUGCGACGAUCUUGGCAAAAAGAGACCUCAAGUGGAAUUUCUCCGAACAACACCGAACAGUGCGCGACAAUGAAGGG